CCUACGGGAGGCAGCAGUGGGGAAUAUUGCACAAUGGGGGAAACCCUGAUGCAGCGACGCCGCGUGAGUGAAGAAGUAUUUCGGGAUGUAAAGCUCUAUCAGCAGGGAAGCAAAAAGACGGUACCUGACUAAGAAGACCCGGCUAACUACGUGCCAGCAGCCGCGGUAAUACGUAGGGGGCAAGCGUUAUCCGGAUUUACUGGGGGUAAAGGGAGCGUAGACGGUAUGGCAAGUCUGAAGUGAAAGCCCAGGGCUUAACCCUGGGACUGCUUUGGAAACUGUUAGACUAGAGGGCGGGAGAGGUAAGUGGAAUGCCUAGUGUAGCGGUGAAAUGCGUAGAUAUUAGGAGGAACACCAGUGGCGAAGGCGGCUUACUGGACAGUAACUGACGUUGAGGCUCGAAAGCGUGGGGAGCAAACAGGAUUAGAUACCCGAGUAGUC
RNAcentral lists this ribosomal RNA (441 nucleotides) under uncultured bacterium. RNAcentral's name for it is "partial 16S ribosomal RNA". It matches the Rfam family "Bacterial small subunit ribosomal RNA", at positions 338 to 795 of the family's 1533-position model. The record is from RNAcentral.